This 253-nucleotide ribosomal RNA is filed under the name uncultured bacterium. RNAcentral describes it as "partial 16S ribosomal RNA". It matches the Rfam family "Bacterial small subunit ribosomal RNA", at positions 524 to 776 of the family's 1533-position model. The record is from RNAcentral.
UACGAAGGGUGCGAGCGUUAUUCGGAAUCACUGGGCGUAAAGAGUGCGUAGACGGUCCAUUAAGUUUGUUGUUAAAGACUCUAGCCUAACUGGAGGGUUGCAAUGAAAACUGGUGAGCUAGAGGGUGAGAGAGAGAAGUGGAAUUCCCGGAGUAGCGGUAAAAUGCGUGGAUCUCGGGAGGAACACCAAUGGCGAAGGCAGCUUCUUGGUUCAUUCCUGACGUUGAGGCACGAAAGCGUGGGGAGCAAACAGG